ACACACACACACACAAAUGGAUUGCACAACUAGGGUUUUGAGAUAGACAGAGAUCGAGGCAACUAGGGUUUCGUAGAGAGAGAGAGGGGUUGCGACAAUGGUUUUGGCAAAAAGGAAGAGUGGUGGUCGCGAAGGUGCCAUAGAGGGGCUACGGGUUGAGUUUGCAGUGGUGGGAAGCUCGUGGCAAUGAGAAUUUCGCAGUGGAGGGGUUGUAGCGAAGGUGAUUCGCGGUGGUGGCAGUAGCCAGGGUUGGGGUUAAGAAAUUAGGGUUUUGGUGGAGAAGAUGAGAACAUUUUGAUAAUUUUAUGAUAUGACAAAAUUGUAAUAAAAAUUAUUGGCCCUUUUGUGCUUAAUGUGGUUGCUUUGGUUAGAGCGAAAUCGUCACGUUUUUCAGGGGGUUGCUUGGUCCAUGACUUGGCUAGAAAAUAGGUUUCUCCAAGUUUUGUGUGGUUAGGUGUCUGGGCAGGUGGAUCCAAAUUUGUUUACCUUUGUAGAUUUUAUAGAUGAUGUGAUUGGUUAGGUGUUUCUCUUUUUUUGGGGGCUCCAGUUUUGUAUUCUUUAGCAUCUUCCUCCACCAGUUAUUUCUACCCUUGCUGUUGAUUCUCCUUCUUCUGAUGACUCUGAUCUUGCUAACCGUAAGUAUCCUCUUAGCAUCCGUAAACAGGUAGUCAAACUUGGUUUUGCUAAAACAUGUUUUUCUCUUUUAUACUGUACGUUUUUGUUUGCUAUUCACUCUUUUUCAGAACCUCAGUUUUACAAGGAGGCUUGUCAGGAUCCUCAUUUGAUUCAAGUUAUAGAGGAUGAGUUGUUUGCUUUGCAGAAAACUAGCAUUUGGGAGUUGAUUCCUUUGCUUGCUGGUAAGAAUCUGGUUGAUUGCAAAUAGGUCUACAAAGUCAAGACUCAUUCUGAUAGUUCUCUUGAGCACUACAAAGCUCGCCUGGCUGUCAAGCGUUUUUCACAGGAAUAUGGUAUUGAUUAUGAGGAGACCUUUGCCCUCAUUACCAAGAUGACUACUAUCCGUACUUUGAUAUCUGUCGCUGCCAUUCGUCAUUGGCCUCUUUAUCAGAUGAAUGUUAAGAAUGCUUUUCUUAAUGGUCAUCUUACUGAGGAGGUUUACAUGCAUCCUCCCCUUGGCCUUCAGCAUUUCUUUGGAUAGGUUUGUUGUCUUCAGCGUGCUCUGUAUGGUCUGAAGCAAUCUCCUCGUAGUUGGUAUGAUCGCUUUCAAACUACUGUUACUGAGCUUGGGUUUCAUUCUUCUGCUCAAGACUUUGCUUUGUUUCUCCUCCACGUCUCUGUUGGUUUUGUUGCCUUAUUAUUGUAUGUGGAUAAUAUGGUUAUUACUGGCUCUGAUUCUUCUGUUAUUUCUGAGGUCAAGCAGCGUCUUUUUCGUAUCUUCAAAAUGAAGGAUUUGGGUCCACUACGGUACUUUCUUGGUAUUGAGGUGGCUUCUUCUCUCUCAAAGAUGGUUUUCCAAUACCAGGAGAAUACCGGACCGAGUCGGGUCAAGCCAGUUCGGGUUCUAGUGGUGUUAAGGGGACAAAGCAGUCAUGGGAUCGCCAGAGAAGGGGUUGGGGAAUAUUUCAAGAAGCCUCUCAAGGAUCAAAACAGGGGAAGCCCAUCUACGACUAAUGCCCUAUAGACAAGUUUUACAACUCCUUGAAGAUGGAACAAUCCUUUGAAGCUGAGCUUGAGGUUGUAUUACGGUAAUGGUGUCGGUGGCAAUGAAAAAGAAUGUAUCCACAAGCAGAGCUUCAGCUUAUACAGUAAGGCUUGUUGAACUUAUUUCUUCUAAGUGCUUGUGAAUGCGUUUGCAUUUUAUUCCUCGUGUAUUUGUUUUUUGAGGUUUCUCUUACACUUUGGGUGUUCCCUUUGUAUUAAUUUAAUUAUAUGUUGUACUUGAUUCUCAUUGUGAUUGUAAUUUUUGGAGUUCAUUGUAACAUGAUCCGUUAAUAAAGAAAUAGUCUUCGAAUAUGUUACCUAGAUGCA
Molecule: non-coding RNA, 1986 nt
Organism: Camellia sinensis
Lineage: Eukaryota; Viridiplantae; Streptophyta; Magnoliopsida; Ericales; Theaceae
Source: RefSeq, a predicted model, not a curated record